This 196-nucleotide non-coding RNA is filed under the name Pseudovibrio sp. Lineage: Bacteria; Pseudomonadati; Pseudomonadota; Alphaproteobacteria; Hyphomicrobiales; Stappiaceae. The record is from RNAcentral.
CACUAUAUGAGCUAUCUUGGUUCUUGCGGGGGUGACUCGCAAGCUAAGAGGGAAGCCGGUGAGAUUCCGGGACUGCCCCCGCAACUGUAAGCAGCAAGCGGGCUCUCAUUUAUGCCACUGGAUCGUAUUCCGGGAAGGUAGAGAGCCUGUGCCAGAGCUGUGAAGUCAGGAGACCUGCCAAGGGACAUUUUAACAA